GAGACUCUGCCACCCGCGCAGCUGCUGCAAGGAUGGCUGGCUUCACGGCCUUGGUCCUUCUCGGGCUGCUGUUGCUGUCUGGACUGGACACCAUCCAGCGUAUUCCAGAGGUCCAGGUAUACUCAAGACACCCGCCAGAAGAUGGAAAGCCAAAUUACCUGAAUUGCUAUGUGUAUGGGUUCCAUCAACCCCAGAUUGAAAUCGAUUUGCUGAAGAACGGGGAGAAGAUUAAAUCGGAGCAGUCAGACCUGUCUUUCAGCAAGGACUGGUCUUUCUACCUUCUGUCCCACGCUGAGUUCACUCCCAACAGCAAGGAUCAGUACAGCUGCCGAGUGAAUCACAUUACUUUAACACAACCCAAGAUAGUUAAGUGGGAUCGAGACCUCUAAGCAGCACCAUCAAGAUUGAAGAUUCUUCAUUUGGUCUAAUUCCAAAUUCUCUUUCCUUGCUCUUUAAUACUGCUCUGCUUUUCUGCUUUAUGAACAUAACAAGAAGUCGUAUUCAUGUUACCACAAAUACUUUCUUUAUAAUCCUACCUUGGGCCCUACUUGUCCAUGUUUGACCUGUCUAGGCAGGUGUCUGUGGUGGAGGCGCUGGCAUCGUGGAGGUGGGGAAGACAAUUGCAGAUUUAACAUCAGCAUCUGGGUGUCUUCUCAUACAAAACUGGGUAAUAGAUACUUAUGCACAUUAAAGUGAGCCUCCAAUUUUGUAACUUUGUUUACAAUUUUGGGAAAAUUUUGGAAAGAUAAUUUUUAGAAAUAUGGGAAUUUGUUAAUUUUUAGAAUUAUGGAGCUUGUGGAUGAAGCAUUUUGCCAUUUAAAAUUUAUAUGUUAUCUCCUAUAUCUGUUAGAAACUUGGUUGUGCCUUGUUUUACUAUAUAUUUUGUUUUACUAUUUAAAACAAUGGUAAAACAUUGUGUUCAGCUUCUCAAAGGAACAACAGCUGACUUCUCAAUGUCAGUGGGAUCCAGAACAUAGCAGAAAGUCAUCAUGAAUGUGAUGAAACAACUUGCUAUCUAAAAUUCUGUAUUCAAAAAAAAUCUUUAAAGAAAA
This is an RNA transcript of Capra hircus (goat), 1052 nucleotides long. It is a transcript of the gene named beta-2-microglobulin pseudogene, with no coding region annotated. The transcript has a single exon. The record is from RefSeq and is a predicted model, not a curated record. NCBI's taxonomy places the organism in Eukaryota, Metazoa, Chordata, Mammalia, Artiodactyla, Bovidae.